UACGUAGGGUGCAAGCGUUAAUCGGAAUUACUGGGCGUAAAGCGAGCGCAGGCGGUUCUGUAAGACAGAUGUGAAAUCCCCGGGCUUAACCUGGGAAUUGCAUUUGUGACUGCAGAGCUAGAGUACGGUAGAGGGGGAUGGAAUUCCGCGUGUAGCAGUGAAAUGCGUAGAUAUGCGGAGGAACACCGAUGGCGAAGGCAACCCCCUGGGAUCAUAUUGACGCUCAUGCACGAAAGCGUGGGGAGCAAACAGG
Molecule: ribosomal RNA, 253 nt
Filed under: uncultured bacterium
Lineage: Bacteria
Description: partial 16S ribosomal RNA
Rfam family: Bacterial small subunit ribosomal RNA
Source: RNAcentral